This 88-nucleotide non-coding RNA is filed under the name chicken gut metagenome. Its description in RNAcentral is "TPP riboswitch (THI element)". It matches the Rfam family "TPP riboswitch aptamer (THI element)", at positions 10 to 89 of the family's 105-position model. From Rfam's summary of the family: Vitamin B(1) in its active form thiamin pyrophosphate (TPP) is an essential coenzyme that is synthesised by coupling of pyrimidine and thiazole moieties in bacteria. The previously detected thiamin-regulatory element, thi box was extended, resulting in a new, highly conserved RNA secondary structure, the THI element, which is widely distributed in eubacteria and also occurs in some archaea. Analysis of operon structures identified a large number of new candidate thiamin-regulated genes, mostly transporters, in various prokaryotic organisms. The record is from RNAcentral.
CCCGGGGGGUCGCUGUGAGGCGGCUGAGAUUGGCGUAUGCCUGACCCGUAAUACCUGAUGCGGUUCAUACCGACGUAGGGAGUGUAAC